ACGUAGGGUGCGAGCGUUAAUCGGAAUUACUGGGCGUAAAGCGUGCGCAGGCGGUUCGCUAAGACAGGUGUGAAAUCCCCGGGCUUAACCUCGGAAUAGCAUUUGAGACUGGCGGACUAGAGUACGGUAGAGGGGGGUGGAAUUUCAGGUGUAGCAGUGAAAUGCGUAGAGAUGUGAAGGAACACCGGUGGCGAAGGCAGCCCCCUGGGCAGAUACUGACGCUCA
RNAcentral lists this ribosomal RNA (225 nucleotides) under uncultured prokaryote. RNAcentral describes it as "partial 16S ribosomal RNA". It matches the Rfam family "Bacterial small subunit ribosomal RNA", at positions 525 to 749 of the family's 1533-position model. The record is from RNAcentral.